This 69-nucleotide transfer RNA is filed under the name Marisa cornuarietis. RNAcentral describes it as "tRNA-Thr". Lineage: Eukaryota; Metazoa; Mollusca; Gastropoda; Architaenioglossa; Ampullariidae. The record is from RNAcentral.
GUAACGGAAGCUAAUAACUAUAGCGUUGGUCUUGUAAGUCGAAGAAAGAGCUAAACAGCUCCCGUUGCU